Molecule: ribosomal RNA, 719 nt
Filed under: Bacillus sp. (in: firmicutes)
Lineage: Bacteria; Bacillati; Bacillota; Bacilli; Caryophanales; Bacillaceae
Description: bacterial SSU rRNA
Rfam family: Bacterial small subunit ribosomal RNA
Source: RNAcentral
AUGGGAGCUUGCUCCCUGAUGUUAGCGGCGGACGGGUGAGUAACACGUGGGUAACCUGCCUGUAAGACUGGGAUAACUCCGGGAAACCGGGGCUAAUACCGGAUGGUUGUUUGAACCGCAUGGUUCAGACAUAAAAGGUGGCUUCGGCUACCACUUACAGAUGGACCCGCGGCGCAUUAGCUAGUUGGUGAGGUAACGGCUCACCAAGGCGACGAUGCGUAGCCGACCUGAGAGGGUGAUCGGCCACACUGGGACUGAGACACGGCCCAGACUCCUACGGGAGGCAGCAGUAGGGAAUCUUCCGCAAUGGACGAAAGUCUGACGGAGCAACGCCGCGUGAGUGAUGAAGGUUUUCGGAUCGUAAAGCUCUGUUGUUAGGGAAGAACAAGUGCCGUUCAAAUAGGGCGGCACCUUGACGGUACCUAAGGGGAAAGCCACGGCUAACUACGUGCCAGCAGCCGCGGUAAUACGUAGGUGGCAAGCGUUGUCCGGAAUUAUUGGGCGUAAAGGGCUCGCAGGCGGUUUCUUAAGUCUGAUGUGAAAGCCCCCGGCUCAACCGGGGAGGGUCAUUGGAAACUGGGGGAACUUGAGUGCAGAAGAGGAGAGUGGAAUUCCACGUGUAGCGGUGAAAUGCGUAGAGAUGUGGAGGAACACCAGUGGCGAAUGCGACUCUCUGGGUCUGUAACUGACGCUGAGGAGCGAAAGCGUGAGGAGCGAAC